This 491-nucleotide ribosomal RNA is filed under the name uncultured bacterium. Its description in RNAcentral is "partial 16S ribosomal RNA". It matches the Rfam family "Bacterial small subunit ribosomal RNA", at positions 28 to 507 of the family's 1533-position model. The record is from RNAcentral.
GAUGAACGCUAGCGAUAGGCUUAACACAUGCAAGUCGAGGGGUAACGUGUUGGAAGCUUGCUUCCGAUGACGACGACCGGCGGAUGGGUGCGUAACGCGUAUGCAACUUGCCUCACAGUGGAGAAUAACCCGGAGAAAUCCGGACUAAUACUCCAUACACUCUUAAGUACGCCUGUACAUGAGAGGAAAGAUUUAUCGCUGUGAGAUAGGCAUGCGUCCUAUUAGGUAGUUGGUGAGGUAACGGCUCACCAAGCCGACGAUAGGUAGGGGUGCUGAGAGGCAGAUCCCCCACAUUGGGACUGAGACACGGCCCAAACGCCUACGGGAGGCAGCAGUGAGGAAUAGUGGUCAAUGGAGGAAACUCUGAACCAGCCAAGUCGCGUGAAGGAAGAAUGGCCUGAGGAUUGUAAACUUCUUUAGCGAGCGAGUAAGGACUUCCACGUGAUGGGAGUUUGAAAGUAGCUCGAGAAUAAGUAUCGGCUAACUCCGUG